RNAcentral lists this small RNA (372 nucleotides) under Arabidopsis thaliana (thale cress). Its description in RNAcentral is "ATSL306980". The record is from RNAcentral. Lineage: Eukaryota; Viridiplantae; Streptophyta; Magnoliopsida; Brassicales; Brassicaceae.
GUCAAUCUGACAUCAGUAGCAAAAUCAAUCGGCGAAACGUAGAAUCCUUUAUCAAGAUUCAAUUUCACUGUACCCAGAUCCAUAGGUUUCUUCACAACCUGAUGAUAAUCAUGAAGCCCUAAACCAACCACAUCAACAGGAGUGUUGAACACCCACGCCCAUUUAUGCUUCAUUAGCUUCACCAAGAUCUGACUACAGGUAUUCAACAUACCGGCCAAUAAUUUCUCCGACUCCGGAUCCGACGGACCAAAUUGAUUGCUUCGCUUGAGACCUGACACAUUUUUCUUCUGUUUCUUCUUCUUCGGUCCAAGGUCAUUCUUUUCACCGGUGAAGUUAUUCAACGGAGCUGAUCGAACGGCGGGUACCUCUGGG